This is an RNA transcript of Phymastichus coffea, 3485 nucleotides long. It is a transcript of the gene named serine/threonine-protein kinase PRP4 homolog, with no coding region annotated. The record is from RefSeq and is a predicted model, not a curated record. The transcript has 13 exons. Lineage: Eukaryota; Metazoa; Arthropoda; Insecta; Hymenoptera; Eulophidae.
GUACAGUCCCCUGGUCUGUACUGCGUCGGCGUAAUCUCUGAAUGGCUCGCGUCAUUGCACCACGACUUAUACACGGGACGACCAUAAGUAAACGCUGCUAACGUUGGCCCUUAAACUGCUUGGACAAUUAUGGGGAGUUCAGAUGUUGAAUAUGUGGAUGAUAAAAAAGAUCCUGGGGAAAUUACAGACACCGAUAGUCCCGUCGAGGAGGAGAAAAAAAUCAGUAAAAAGAAGAAGAGAAAACACAAACAUCACAAGCACAAAAAGGAUAAGUUGGGAGAUAAGGAUGAUAAAGAAAGCAAAAAGAAGCACAAAAAACACAAAAAGUCCAAAAGGAGAAUGGCAGUGGAGAAUGGAAAUGGAGCUGUUAUUGAUAAAAUUGUUACCCAAAUUGUUAACAAGGAGAAUAAUGGUAAAAUCAAUAACUCGGCAAUGGAAAUCGGAGAGACUGAAGACAGCGAAGAAGAAAAGUUAGUAGACUUAGAUUCCGACGAUGUGGAUUGUCAUAUCGUAGAGGAUGAUGAGAUGGACCUGGAGGAAUUAAUGAAACAGAAGGAACGGCUACAAGCACGUUUAGUACAAUAUUUAUCAGAUGACUCUGAGAAGAAUAUAGUUUGCAGAAGAGUGGUAAAAAGGUCAUCAUUACCAGAUGUGAUACUUGUGGAGGAUAGUGGAGAUGAAUCCCAGCCAUUAAAGAAACGUCGUCGAAGUGGUUCAACGAGUAGAGAACGAAGAAAAGUUAUUAAGACCGAUCGACGUGUUGUCGUUGACAUGAGUAGAAGUGAAAGAAGAAGUCGAGAAGAGUUGGAAAGAAGACGAGAAGAGUCCGAAAGACGACGAGAUGAAUUAGAAAGAAGACGAGAUGAGUCUGAAAGACGUCGAGAAUUGGACAAGAAACGUGAAGCAGAAAAACAGAGGAUUAAAGACGAAGCGAGGAGAGAACACGAAAGACACGCUAAGAAAGUUGCUGAAAAAGCAAAAGAUGAUGCCAGAAAGGAGGAAGCUGCUAGGAAAAAACUCGAGGAGGAGAAGCGAAGGGAUGCUUUGAAGAAGGAAGAACAGCGAAGGAGAGAACUUGAAAAGAGUCGAGAAGAAGAGCGAAGGCGCGAAGCCGAGAAGAGCAGACGUAGCAGUAGUAUUCGUCAGCACGACUCGAAGACGCAAGAAACUCGUCCUAGAGAACGUCGUGACAGUAGUCGUGAUCGACAUUUGAACCAUGAACACCGAAGCCGAGAUAGCCGCGACCGACCACGUGACAGGAGCCGAGAUCGAUUAGAUUCACGAAGAAAUCUCGAGCGAAGAAGGUCGCGAAGUCGAGGAAGGGAUCGUUUCCGAAGAUCACGAUCGCGAUCGAGAGAUCGCGGUGCUGGUGGUGGUGGUAUUGCCGGUGGUCGCGAUAGAGAUCGAGACAGAUACGGUAGAGAUCACGACAAGGAUCGUGAGAAGAAUGGCAAACGUGAAAGGAAUGACAAAUUCAAAGAUUCGCUAUCCGAAGGUUUGAAAAUUGAACGGUCCGACAGUUCGAGCGAAGAAGAUAUCAAGGACAUUGACAUCGAGGAGGACGAAGACGAGGAGGCCAUUAUCGAACGUCGUAGGAAGCAACGAGAAGAAUUACUAAAAAGACUUGGUGCACCAAAUGAGGACUCAAACUUCUCAUCUGAUAUGAAUGUGACGAGGUCGCCACUUUCUGAAGCGCAAUCGAGUACAUCGAGAGAUAAUCAGAAUGAUGAUUCCGCGUCGGAAAGUCAUACACCACCUCUGUCCGAGAGAAGAAGAAAAUCUAAAGAAGAGAAAGAGGAUAUUAAAGUUAAUGAAAAGAAGGAUGAGAAACAAAAUAUAAAAUUGAAAUCUGGCGAAAAGUGGGAUAUGUUUGCCGAAGCCGACCAUGAUAAUUUCAAUAGCCCUACAGUUGAUGGUGGCAAACGUAUAGGUGGACCAGACAAUCCAAGUUUGACGGAUAAUUGGGAUGAUGCUGAAGGUUAUUACAGAGUUCGUGUUGGUGAGACUUUAGAUUCACGAUAUACUGUAUAUGGUUAUACCGGCCAAGGUGUUUUCAGUAAUGUUGUUAGGGCAAGAGACAGUGCUAGAGGCAAUAUGGAGGUUGCUGUUAAAAUUAUUAGAAAUAAUGAAAUUAUGCAUAGAACUGGGCUUAAAGAGUUGGAGGUCCUUAGAAAGCUCAAUGAUCAAGAUCCAGAAGAUAGAUUUCAUUGUUUACGAUUGUUCAGACAUUUCUUUCACAGAAAUCACUUGUGUAUGGUGUUUGAAUCUUUAGCCAUGAAUUUGAGAGAGGUAUUAAAAAAGUAUGGAAAGGAUGUAGGCUUACAUGUCAAAGCCGUUAGAUCAUACACGCAACAAUUGUUUUUAGCAUUGAAGCUACUCAAGAAGACAAAUAUUUUACACGCCGAUAUAAAACCAGACAAUAUUCUAGUCAGUGAGAGCAAAUUAGUAUUGAAACUUUGUGAUUUCGGUUCUGCAUCCUACGCUCAUGAGAAUGAGAUCACUCCAUACCUAGUAUCGAGAUUCUAUCGAGCACCUGAAGUCAUUCUCGGUAUACCUUAUGAUUUUGGCAUUGACAUGUGGUCUGUUGGUUGCACAAUUUACGAACUUUACACUGGUAAAAUUAUGUUUUCUGGGAAAACAAACAAUCAAAUGCUGAAGUUCUUUAUGGACUUGAAAGGCAAGAUGCCAAAUAAACUCAUCAGAAAGGGACAAUUCAAAGAUCAACACUUCGAUUCUAACUGCAAUUUUUUGUAUCACGAGGUCGAUAGAGUUACUGAGAGGGAAAAAAUUGUAUCAAUGUCAACAUUGCCAGCUACACGCGACCUCGCAGUGGAACUGGGAGGCAACACAUUGCCACCAGAGCAGGCGCGCAAAGUCGGCCAGCUGAAGGACUUACUAGAGCGUACGCUUAUGUUGGACGCUGGCAAGAGGAUAACGGUGAACCAUGCAUUGGCUCAUCCCUUCAUACAAGAGAAGAUCUAGAUCGGUCAUCACGACUAUGAAUCAUUGGUUAAAUCACAACCGGACCUUUUUUGCGAGGCCAUUGCUGUUCCCGUUGCAAGCCCUCCCUGAGCGGAGGGAAGACAAUGGCACAAUGAGAGAAAGAGAGAGAGAGAGAGAGAAAGAGAAAGAAAUGCCAUGAGAGAUGACAGGAAUCGAUUCAAAUUUAAAUGACACUACUGUCAAUCGGCAAAAAAAGUCAAAUGUUCGCCAAAAUACAUAUUUCGUAAGUAUAUUGCGGAGAACAGGUAAGGUGUCUUGAAUAAUUACAGCUACACCGAACUUCUUGAUAAUUGCAUUAAGGAAUCGUCUUUUUCAGGCGUCGAUCGAUAGGCUUACUUUUAAAUUAGUACGUUUCAUAUAUUCAGCUAAUGAAACUCGAGUUAAAGUCUUUUUUUUUUUGUAAAACUUUUUAUUGUCAUUUGGGUUGAAGCGAGUGGACGAAAGGUAAACUGUAAUUUUUUUUUCCAUAAAUAAACGAAGAC